Molecule: ribosomal RNA, 457 nt
Filed under: uncultured bacterium
Lineage: Bacteria
Description: bacterial SSU rRNA
Rfam family: Bacterial small subunit ribosomal RNA
Source: RNAcentral
UACGGGAGGCAGCGGUGGGGAAUAUUGCACAAUGGGCGAAAGCCUGAUGCAGCUAUGCCGCGUGUAUGAAGAAGGCCUUAGGGUUGUAAAGUACUUUCAUCGGGGAGGAAAAAACAAAACUAAUAAUUUUAUUUCUUGACGUUACCCGAAAAAGAAGCACCGGCUAACUCCGUGCCAGCAGCCGCGGUAAUACGGAGGGUGCUAGCGUUAAUCAGAAUUACUGGGCGUAAAGAGCACGUAGGUGGUUUUUUUAAGUCAGAUGUGAAAUCCCUGGGCUUAACCUAGGAACUGCAUUUUGAAACUGAAAUACUAGAGUAUCGUAGAGGGAGGUAGAAUUCUAGGUGUAGCGGUGAAAUGCGUAGAUAUCUGGAGGAAUACCUGUGGCGAAAGCGGCCUCCUAAACGAAUACUGACACUGAGGGUGCGAAAGCGUGGGGAGCAAACAGGGAUUAGAUACC